This is a non-coding RNA of Arthrobotrys megalospora, 93 nucleotides long. NCBI's taxonomy places the organism in Eukaryota, Fungi, Ascomycota, Orbiliomycetes, Orbiliales, Orbiliaceae. The record is from the annotation of a GenBank genome assembly.
UCCGAUAUGGUGUAGUGGUUAACAUCGUCCGCUUUCAAAGAGGUCUCCUCAAGAUGGUCCGGACAGCCCCGGGUUCGAUUCCCGGUAUCGGAA